UACAGAGGUCUCAAGCGUUGUUCGGAUUCAUUGGGCGUAAAGGGUGCGUAGGCGGUGCCGUAAGUCGGAUGUGAAAUCCCGGGGCUUAACCCCGGAACUGCAUUCGAUACUGCGGUGCUCGAGGACUGGAGAGGAGAUUGGAAUUCACGGUGUAGCAGUGAAAUGCGUAGAUAUCGUGAGGAAGACCAGUGGCGAAGGCGGAUCUCUGGACAGUUCCUGACGCUGAGGCACGAAGGCCAGGGGAGCAAACGGG
RNAcentral lists this ribosomal RNA (253 nucleotides) under uncultured bacterium. Its description in RNAcentral is "partial 16S ribosomal RNA". It matches the Rfam family "Bacterial small subunit ribosomal RNA", at positions 524 to 776 of the family's 1533-position model. The record is from RNAcentral.